GAUAGUCAUGCAGUAGCCAUGGUUUUCAACUUGAAUAUUUAUUAAAUGAUUGCUUGUUUAAAACAUGGUUAUCGUUGUUUCGGUAAUGCUUCUUGUUUAGUGCUUACUUGUUUGCUAUGUUGUUAUGCACCUGGUUAUCAUGCCCUGCUAGUUGCUAGUAUUGCUUUCAUAUUGCCAUGCUUGAUAGUAGUACAUGUUGGGUUGGUCAUGUUCUUCGGUGCAUGAUUAACGUCGGUUAUCGAGUACCAUUAAUAUGCGUUGUUCCUUUGUUGUUAGUUGGUUAAGUCUUACUCGGUGAUGUUAUUGAUGAUUUCUUGCAUGUUAUUUAUGUUUGAUGAUAAUGCACUACAAGAAACCUGUUAAUCUAUGAUGGAUUUCUGGUGACAUUUUCAAAAACCGUCAUGGAUGUCAUGGUACAGCCCCGCAAGCCCGCCAAAGCCCGCUAAGCCCGCCUAACCUUUACCCAUAUAAAGCGCUAACCCUAACCCUCAUCCUCUCUCCCUCCUCCGCGGCCCCCUCCCGAUUCCUCAUCGCUGCCACCCACCACCUCCUCGCCCCCUCCUCCCACCGCACGCCACCGUCCCUCUCCCCCUCCUCUCCUCUCACCUAGCGUCUCCGGCAGCUACCAGAUUGGCCGCAUCCCCCAUCCAUCCAUCCCUGUCACAAACAAUCUCUCUCUCUCUCUCUCUCCCGUAUGACCCAUCACGGCAGGGUCAACAGCCAUCGAUUCCGGCGAUGUUCACCAUCUCACAGCACACACACAAGCUGGUCUCCGACCCUAGCCCUCCAGGCCGGCUAGAUCCACCUCGCCCGCCACCCCGAGUCUGUGGCUAGGGUUUCGGCUAUGGUGUUGCCUCCAUCAUCGGCGCGUCUCCGACGACUCCGCUGUGUUCCAGACCGCGCGCCCUCAUGUUCUCCCCACCUCCUGGAUGGCAACCCCUAGCUGGGUUCGCUCACGCGCGUGAGGCUGCACGGCUGCGACCCCGACCUCCUCUGCCGCAGCUCCGACGCGGCCGUGCAUCCUAUGGCAACCUCCUCUGCAGCAUUUGGACCACUGCAGGCCCUCCCUUGCCCAGGUCCUGGUUCUUGCAAGCAUAGAACAUCUAUUUGCCGUGUGCAGUAAUAGUUUUGGUGUCAAGCUAGCUACAUGUGUGGAUGCUCUAAUUUUCUCCCAAUGAUUUAGUGUAAUGCGUAUUUCAGAUGCAGAAACUAUGUUGUGUUCUGAUGGCCAUGCUACUAUUUGUUGUUAUGGUUUCCCCUGAUUUCAGAAAUAUCUAAUGUCCUUUGUGUACUUUGUAGUAUCUAUAUAAUAAUUAGAGAUACAUGAUAACUCAGUUCAGUUUAAGCGUAUGAUUUUCAUAUCUUGUUUGACUGGGUUACAUAUUUACAGAUAUAACUGUUGGGACAUUGCGUA
This is a long non-coding RNA of Aegilops tauschii subsp. strangulata, 1414 nucleotides long. RefSeq lists it as uncharacterized. The record is from RefSeq and is a predicted model, not a curated record. NCBI's taxonomy places the organism in Eukaryota, Viridiplantae, Streptophyta, Magnoliopsida, Poales, Poaceae.